GGAGAUGAUGAUGUAGUCCCUAUGUGGGCCGCAGAAAACACUUCGAGCCGUGCUGGAGUCGUGCUGGGUGGCUCUGAUAGCAGAGCUAAUGGGAGCGAAUGGGAUGCAACGAACUGUUCUAAUGACACCAGCCAGGGAAGAGACAACAGAAGAGGUUUUUCCCUGAUGCCAACGGAGUCACACUGCAGAAGAACCACUGCUGAUGGGGUCUGUCCCAGCCUGUGGGAUUGAUUAAUCUUUGCGUGAGAGUGAGGACACCAAGACACAGAGAUGGGAGUGGUCUUACCCAAGGUCACACUGCACAAAUCAUCGUGGCAAGAGUCACUCAUCAGUUCUGUGAGAAGCAGCAGAGGAAAAUGUUGUCCAGCAUCCUGUGUUGGACUACCACCAUGGCACUGUCUUUCAAGUCCAUCCUGUGAUCACCAAAUACUCUUGCCAUCUCUGACAAGCAGAAGAAACAGAGGCUGGUCCAAGCUGACUUCAGGUGCUACAGACACUGAAGUCCUUGCAAAAGGAGAAACUUGAGAUGUCACUGGCUGAAGAUACCCCAGGUUACUGUGAAGUGAUAACAAACUGAGUCACAUGCAUGUUGUGGCUGUUUUUCCUGACCUUGGGGUCACGUGCAAGGAAACAACUGGUGGGAAAGCAAAGUGGAAAAGAAGAAUUAUUUCUCUGGGGCCCUGACAGAAGGAAUAAGAAUGUGGGGGCACCUGGGAUGGCCGCGGAACAAAAAACCUGAAACACCUUUUCACCCAUUUGUUCUGCAUUUUCCACACUGUGGGUCCUGCUCCCCGCUUUCCUCACCCUCCCCCAGCUUGCCUGUGAUUCAGGAAGAAGAGGCCAAGGAGACUAAUAUAGUGCUGAAGACAGGACUGGAAGGGCAGUAAUUUAGACUCAGAGGCUUAUAGUAUUAUUGCCUGCAAAGCCAUUCAUGGGAAAUGAUUCCACCCAUCCCCAUUCCACUCCCCCCCCCAUACCACUCUCCUUGCUCUGCAAUAACAAUAACAGAAAUGCCUUCAGGAGGCUUUUCUACUCAAAAUGCAGGCAAAGGAGCACUUUUCUCCAUCACCCCUCUUCUUUCCCUUCUCUUCUCCCUGCACUCACUUGUCCCC
Serinus canaria (Common canary) is the source of this 1112-nucleotide long non-coding RNA. RefSeq lists it as uncharacterized. Lineage: Eukaryota; Metazoa; Chordata; Aves; Passeriformes; Fringillidae. The record is from RefSeq and is a predicted model, not a curated record. The transcript has 3 exons.